GUCUUUUUGAAUUAAAUUUAAAGUCUAACCUGCCCACUGAAAUUUUAAAUGGCCGCAGUAUUUUAACUGUGCAAAGGUAGCAUAAUCAUUAGUCUUUUAAUUGAAGGCUGGAAUGAACGGUUGGACGAGAUAUUAACUGUUUCAUUUUAAUUUUUUUUUAGAAUUUUAUUUUUUAGUCAAAAAGCUAAAAUUUAUUUAAAAGACGAGAAGACCCUAUAAAUCUUUAUAUUUUAUUUAUUUUAAUUAUAAAGAUUAUUUUUAUUAUAAUAAAUUAAAAUAUUUUAUUGGGGUGAUAUUAAAAUUUAAAAAACUUUUAAUUUUUAAAAAUCAUUAAUUUAUGAACAAUUGAUCCAUUAAUAGUGAUUAAAAAAUUAAGUUACUUUAGGGAUAACAGCGUAAUUUUUUUGGAGAGUUCUUAUCGAUAAAAAAGAUUGCGACCUCGAUGUUGGAUUAAGAUAUAAUUUUGGGUGUAGCCGUUCAAAUUUUAAGUCUGUUCGACUUUUAAAUUCUU
Molecule: ribosomal RNA, 511 nt
Filed under: Drosophila mojavensis
Lineage: Eukaryota; Metazoa; Arthropoda; Insecta; Diptera; Drosophilidae
Description: partial 16S ribosomal RNA
Rfam family: Bacterial large subunit ribosomal RNA (bases 387-511)
Source: RNAcentral